GAUGAACGCUAGCUACAGGCUUAACACAUGCAAGUCGAGGGGCAGCGGGAUUGAAGCUUGCUUCAAUCGCCGGCGACCGGCGCACGGGUGAGUAACGCGUAUCCAACCUUCCGUUUACUCAGGGAUAGCCUUUCGAAAGAAAGAUUAAUACCUGAUGGUAUCUUAAUGACACAUGUAAUUAAGAUUAAAGAUUUAUCGGUAAACGAUGGGGAUGCGUUCCAUUAGGUAGUAGGCGGGGUAACGGCCCACCUAGCCAACGAUGGAUAGGGGUUCUGAGAGGAAGGUCCCCCACAUUGGAACUGAGACACGGUCCAAACUCCUACGGGAGGCAGCAGUGAGGAAUAUUGGUCCAAUGGGCGAGAGCCUGAACCAGCCAAGUAGCGUGAAGGAUGACUGCCCUAUGGGUUGUAAACUUCUUUAUACGGGAANAAAGUGAGGCACGUGUGCCUUUUUGUAUGUACCGUAUGAAUAAGGAUCGGCUAACUCCGUG
Molecule: ribosomal RNA, 490 nt
Filed under: uncultured bacterium
Lineage: Bacteria
Description: bacterial SSU rRNA
Rfam family: Bacterial small subunit ribosomal RNA
Source: RNAcentral